Molecule: long non-coding RNA, 612 nt
Organism: Ipomoea nil (Japanese morning glory)
Lineage: Eukaryota; Viridiplantae; Streptophyta; Magnoliopsida; Solanales; Convolvulaceae
Exons: 2
Source: RefSeq, a predicted model, not a curated record
UUUGCCAUUAUAGGAAAGGUAACAGUUGUGCAUGGCUCGGUGGUUUCUUUAGUUUGUUACUUUGAGGAUAUGAGUUUGGUAAGUUUUGAUUCAAAACAUAUCGUAUCUAAAUUCAGAUCUAUGAAAGCGACGGGUGGACCGGGGGGUGCAGGCAUGGUAUUUGGGGGUCCAUAUGACACGUGAAAUUGGAAUAAAUGUGUUGUUAUUGAGGGAAGAUCUAUAGACUAUAGCUGUUGGUUGGGACCUGCAUAAUAGCUAGGGCCGAAAGUCGGAGAAAACAAUGAAAGAAAGAGUCUUUUGUUUUGCCAGUAUGCUGCCAUUGCCAGAGUCAGUCUUCAUGACCUAGCACCCAACAAAUCGACAACCAGAUAGAUAAUCGAGUGUUGUGUGGCUGCUUUAUAUCUUGAGAUUGGCCAUGGAAUCCAAACCGGGCAAUAUAAUAAGAAUUUGUGUGCCUGCUUUUAUGCAGACAUGUUUGCUUUUCUGAACUUGGAUGAGUAAGGGGGGGUUAGAUUCAUAGAUAUUCUCAGACUCUUUUGAUGUGGGUGAUCAUCUUGUCUUUGAAAGAUGGAUGGAAUAAUGUUUAUUGUCUUUAUCAUCAUAUUUUAUCUU